This 459-nucleotide ribosomal RNA is filed under the name uncultured bacterium. RNAcentral describes it as "partial 16S ribosomal RNA". It matches the Rfam family "Bacterial small subunit ribosomal RNA", at positions 338 to 795 of the family's 1533-position model. The record is from RNAcentral.
CCUACGGGAGGCAGCAGUGAGGAAUAUUGGUCAAUGGGCGCGAGCCUGAACCAGCCAAGUAGCGUGCGGGAUGAAGGUCCUAUGGAUCGUAAACCUCUUUUAUAAGGGAAUAAAGUGUGGGACGUGUCCUAUUUUGUAUGUACCUUAUGAAUAAGGAUCGGCUAACUCCGUGCCAGCAGCCGCGGUAAUACGGGGGAUCCGAGUGUUAUCGGGAUUUAUUGGGUUUAAAGGGUGCGUAGGCGGCCUUUAAGUCAGCGGUGAACGUCUGUGGCUCAACCAUAGAAUUGCCGUGGAAACUGGUGAGCUAGAGUAAGAUGGAGGCAGGCGGAAUGCGUGGUGAAGCGGUGAAAUGCUUAGAUAUCACGCAGAACCCCGAGUGCGAAGGCAGCCUACCAAGCCAAGACUGACGCUGAGGCACGAAAGCGUGGGGAUCAAACAGGAUUAGAUACCCGAGUAGUC